RNAcentral lists this long non-coding RNA (674 nucleotides) under Setaria viridis. RNAcentral describes it as "long non-coding RNA (SVIR_LNC001922)". The record is from RNAcentral. Lineage: Eukaryota; Viridiplantae; Streptophyta; Magnoliopsida; Poales; Poaceae.
GUGGAUUGGAGCUUGGGACAAGUUUAUGGAUCUGGAUGAGAGCUCGAAACAAGUUUACGACCUGGAUGAUAGCUUGGGACAAGAUUAAUGAGUGUAAUGUGCACUUCGAGAGUAUCAAGGCUAGAAUGAGAGCUCGGGACAAGUUUAAGGACUGCUUUGUGCAUUUUGAGGGUACGGGGACCGAGAUGAGAACUCGGGAUAAGUUUAAGGACCGCUGGUGAAAUUUACUCUUAAAUAAAAGACCAUAGCAUAGAAAUAGACAUUUCAAGAGAUAUGGGUGGGGGAGAAGAUAAGGUGAGGUGAGAAGAUAAGGUUGGAGCGUGUGGGUUUAAUUUUUUUGUUUGGCAUGUGAUGAGGACAUCGCCAUGCUGGACAUGCACGAGUCAUGGUCUUCCCUAAGUUAUAGUUCGUCACCAACUCGAUCGUCGCGUUCGUUUCGGAUUCAGCCAACACCUCUGCACGAUUUCGCCAUAUCUCCCUCAUACGACAUUGAAACGAGACAUUCUUUGAUGCGUUGGAAUGGGGAUGAUGAUACUGUUCUUUUGGUUCUGGUCCCAGCUCUAGAAGGUUUGUGGAUCAUUCUGUGUAACUACGACAAAAGGGCUACGUCACCAGUUUCGGGCCAACUUGGCCUUGUAUCAUGUCAGGCCUUAAGCCCAAGUUGUGGGCGCCUC